GCCUUCGUGGUGUAGUGGUUAGCACGCUCAGCGUGUAUUCCAGAGGUCUGAGGUUCGAGUCCCGGCGAGGACA
RNAcentral lists this transfer RNA (73 nucleotides) under Stegodyphus mimosarum. It matches the Rfam family "tRNA". From Rfam's summary of the family: Transfer RNA (tRNA) molecules are approximately 80 nucleotides in length. Their secondary structure includes four short double-helical elements and three loops (D, anti-codon, and T loops). The record is from Rfam by way of RNAcentral. Lineage: Eukaryota; Metazoa; Arthropoda; Arachnida; Araneae; Eresidae.